Molecule: transfer RNA, 85 nt
Filed under: Candidatus Curtissbacteria bacterium
Lineage: Bacteria; Candidatus Curtissiibacteriota
Description: tRNA-Leu
Rfam family: tRNA
About the family: Transfer RNA (tRNA) molecules are approximately 80 nucleotides in length.
Source: RNAcentral
GGGCGAGUGGCGAAAUUGGUAGACGCGCAGUGUUCAGAACGCUGUGGGUAUUACACUCUUGGAGGUUCAAAUCCUCUCUCGCCCA